RNAcentral lists this ribosomal RNA (450 nucleotides) under uncultured bacterium. RNAcentral describes it as "partial 16S ribosomal RNA". It matches the Rfam family "Bacterial small subunit ribosomal RNA", at positions 354 to 796 of the family's 1533-position model. The record is from RNAcentral.
GUGGGGAAUUUUGGACAAUGGGCGCAAGCCUGAUCCAGCAAUGCCGCGUGCAGGAAGAAGGCCUUCGGGUUGUAAACUGCUUUUGUACGGAACGAAACGGUCCGGGUUAAUACCCUGGGCUAAUGACGGUACCGUAAGAAUAAGCACCGGCUAACUACGUGCCAGCAGCCGCGGUAAUACGUAGGGUGCAAGCGUUAAUCGGAAUUACUGGGCGUAAAGCGUGCGCAGGCGGUUUUGUAAGACAGGCGUGAAAUCCCCGGGCUCAACCUGGGAAUUGCGCUUGUGACUGCAAGGCUGGAGUGCGGCAGAGGGGGAUGGAAUUCCGCGUGUAGUAGUGAAAUGCGUAGAUAUGCGGAGGAACACCGAUGGCGAAGGCAAUCCCCUGGACCUGUACUGACGCUCAUGCACGAAAGCGUGGGGAGCAAACAGGAUUAGAAACCCGUGUAGUCC